GACGAACGCUGGCGGCAUGCUUAACACAUGCAAGUCGAACGGGAACGCCGUGCUUUGUUGCGGUGCUGGAGGGGAGGAGGGGUAAGUAACACGUAGGUAACGUACACUUCACUUUGGGGGAAGUUAAGGAAGGUGAAGGUAAUCGCGGAUAGGAGCUACUGCUUCAGGGUGGGGGUGGGAUGGUUUAGGCGGUUGGGGAUGGACUAGCGGAUUAUGAGGUUGUUGGUGGGGUAGUGGCAUACCAAGCCUUGGACGCGUAGCCUGCCUGGGAGGGGGACAGGCCACAUUGGGACUGGGAUACGGCCCAGACUCCUACGGUAGGCAACGGUGGCGAAUAUUGCACAAUGGGCUGGAGCCUGAUCCAGCACCGCCGCGUGCGGGAAGACGUCCUUCGGGUUGGGAUCCGCUUUCGCUUUUGACGAAGCGUUAGUGACGGUACCGGGUGAAUAAGCACCGGCUAACUACGUG
Molecule: ribosomal RNA, 468 nt
Filed under: uncultured bacterium
Lineage: Bacteria
Description: partial 16S ribosomal RNA
Rfam family: Bacterial small subunit ribosomal RNA
Source: RNAcentral